ACCCUCUACAAAGGCAUGUCUGUGGUUCCUAUCCUUUGGACAUAAAAACUGAGCCAAAGAGAAUGUGGGCUUGGAGAAGUCUGGAGCCGGCUUGCUCCCCACAGGCUCAAGAUAACCCCUUUCCCUCACAG
Molecule: small nucleolar RNA, 131 nt
Filed under: Dasypus novemcinctus (nine-banded armadillo)
Lineage: Eukaryota; Metazoa; Chordata; Mammalia; Cingulata; Dasypodidae
Description: Small nucleolar RNA SNORA38 (ENSDNOG00000031284.1)
Rfam family: Small nucleolar RNA SNORA38
About the family: ACA38 is a member of the H/ACA class of snoRNA that guide the sites of modification of uridines to pseudouridines.
Source: RNAcentral